CUCUUUUUCUCAUCGGACACGACGAUUCUCAAACAUAAUCGUCUCUUGAGAUUAAAGGUAGUGUUGUUUACAACGAGAAGGAAAUCAGUAUGUAGAUAUUUGUGAUUGUUUUUGGAAUCAUUAUUUGUAAUUGAAGAUCAUAGAAUUUGAAGUAGGAUCUAUUCGUGAAAUCCUAGGGUUUUAUCCGGGAAAGGAGAUGAUAUUAGAUAUGAUGAAUUACAAGUUGUUCAAGUCCAGCUAAAGUAGAUUACCUAGCCAUUUUAGCCAUUCCAAAACCAAACAGAACUAUUAGCUUGCGCUCUAGCAAAUUUUGCUAUAGUCUCCUAUGUGGUUUGUGCACAUAGGUACAUUUCCAUGAAUUGAAUUAACUUAAAAUA
Molecule: long non-coding RNA, 377 nt
Organism: Papaver somniferum (opium poppy)
Lineage: Eukaryota; Viridiplantae; Streptophyta; Magnoliopsida; Ranunculales; Papaveraceae
Exons: 3
Source: RefSeq, a predicted model, not a curated record